RNAcentral lists this ribosomal RNA (500 nucleotides) under uncultured bacterium. RNAcentral describes it as "partial 16S ribosomal RNA". It matches the Rfam family "Bacterial small subunit ribosomal RNA", at positions 30 to 523 of the family's 1533-position model. The record is from RNAcentral.
AUUGAACGCUGGCGGAAUGCUUUACACAUGCAAGUCGAACGGCAGCACGGACUUCGGUCUGGUGGCGAGUGGCGAACGGGUGAGUAAUGUAUCGGAACGUGCCCAGUCGUGGGGGAUAACGUAGUGAAAAUUACGCUAAUACCGCAUACGAUCUAUGGAUGAAAGCGGGGGAUCGCAAGACCUCGCGCGAUUGGAGCGGCCGAUAUCAGAUUAGGUAGGUGGUGGGGUAAAGGCCCACCAAGCCAACGAUCUGUAGCUGGUCUGAGAGGGCGACCAGCCACACUGGAACUGAGACACGGUCCAGACUCCUACGGGAGGCAGCAGUGGGGAAUUUUGGACAAUGGGCGAAAGCCUGAUCCAGCCAUUCCGCGUGCAGGAUGAAGGCCCUCGGGUUGUAAACUGCUUUUGUACAGAACGAAAAGGUUUCUACUAAUACUAGGAGCUCAUGACGGUACUGUAAGAAUAAGCGCCGGCUAAUUACGUGCCAGCAGCCGCCGUAA